Long non-coding RNA from Andrographis paniculata, 438 nucleotides. RefSeq lists it as uncharacterized. Lineage: Eukaryota; Viridiplantae; Streptophyta; Magnoliopsida; Lamiales; Acanthaceae. The record is from RefSeq and is a predicted model, not a curated record. The transcript has 3 exons.
CCGCAUGAUCGGACUACCGAACAUAAUAGGGAGUACUUCUUUCUUUUUCUUUUACAUUUAUGAAUUGCAUUUAUUUUAUCACAUUGCAUAUAGGGUUAGAUUUAUUUUUACGUCAGUCCCGGGACAUGCAUGCAUUAAUUUCUUUUCUAUAUUUUAUACUAACACAUUUUUUAGUGUUUUUUAGUUUGUAGGUAAAGCUUAUCGGGAGAUUAGAGGAAGCGCAAAGAUCCGUCGAUCUCGAUUUCAAACCAAGGUAAGUGAUUUUAAUAUUAUUUUGUCUUUCCCUUCCUAUGCAUAUACAUACUAAUAUUUAUUUAAAUCUUUUUAGAUGAAUACGAGAGGGAGCGGCCGCAUGAUCGGACUACCGAACAUAAUAGGGAGUACUUCUAUCUUUUUCUUUUACAUUUAUGAAUUGCAUUUAUUUUAUCACAUUGCAUA